GUCCACGCCGUAAACGAUGAGCACUAGGUGUCGGGUCGCAAGACUUCGGUGCCGCAGUUAACGCAUUAAGUGCUCCGCCUGGGGAGUACGCACGCAAGUGUAAACUCAAAGGAAUUGACGGGGACCCGCACAAGCAGCGGAGCAUGUGGUUUAAUUCGAAGCAACGCGAAGAACCUUACCAGGACUUGACAUCCUACUGACAGGACCUUAACCGGUUCCUUCUUCGGACAGUAGAGACAGGUGGUGCAUGGUUGUCGU
Molecule: ribosomal RNA, 258 nt
Filed under: uncultured bacterium
Lineage: Bacteria
Description: partial 16S ribosomal RNA
Rfam family: Bacterial small subunit ribosomal RNA
Source: RNAcentral